Long non-coding RNA from Perognathus longimembris pacificus (Pacific pocket mouse), 144 nucleotides. RefSeq lists it as uncharacterized. The transcript has 3 exons. Lineage: Eukaryota; Metazoa; Chordata; Mammalia; Rodentia; Heteromyidae. The record is from RefSeq and is a predicted model, not a curated record.
GAGCCACAGCGCCACUCCUGGCUUUUUCUGUGUAUGUGGUGCUGAGGAAUCGAACCCAGGGCUUCAAGCAUGCUGGGAGAGCACUCUACGGCCAAGCCACGUUCCCAGGCCUGGCUCAGAGUGUUUCCUAUCUCUGCGAGCCCC